GCUAUACAUGCAGUCGAGCGGACAGAUGGGAGCUUGCUCCCUGAUGUUAGCGGCGGACGGGUGAGUAACACGUGGGUAACCUGCCUGUAAGACUGGGAUAACUCCGGGAAACCGGGGCUAAUACCGGAUGGUUGUUUGAACCGCAUGGUUCAAACAUAAAAGGUGGCUUCGGCUACCACUUACAGAUGGACCCGCGGCGCAUUAGCUAGUUGGUGAGGUAACGGCUCACCAAGGCAACGAUGCGUAGCCGACCUGAGAGGGUGAUCGGCCACACUGGGACUGAGACACGGCCCAGACUCCUACGGGAGGCAGCAGUAGGGAAUCUUCCGCAAUGGACGAAAGUCUGACGGAGCAACGCCGCGUGAGUGAUGAAGGUUUUCGGAUCGUAAAGCUCUGUUGUUAGGGAAGAACAAGUACCGUUCGAAUAGGGCGGUACCUUGACGGUACCUAACCAGAAAGCCACGGCUAACUACGUGCCAGCAGCCGCGGUAAUACGUAGGUGGCAAGCGUUGUCCGGAAUUAUUGGGCGUAAAGGGCUCGCAGGCGGUUUCUUAAGUCUGAUGUGAAAGCCCCCGGCUCAACCGGGGAGGGUCAUUGGAAACUGGGGAACUUGAGUGCAGAAGAGGAGAGUGGAAUUCCACGUGUAGCGGUGAAAUGCGUAGAGAUGUGGAGGAACACCAGUGGCGAAGGCGACUCUCUGGUCUGUAACUGACGCUGAGGAGCGAAAGCGUGGGGAGCGAACAGGAUUAGAUACCCUGGUAGUCCACGCCGUAAACGAUGAGUGCUAAGUGUUAGGGGGUUUCCGCCCCUUAGUGCUGCAGCU
RNAcentral lists this ribosomal RNA (823 nucleotides) under Bacillus subtilis. RNAcentral describes it as "bacterial SSU rRNA". It matches the Rfam family "Bacterial small subunit ribosomal RNA", at positions 48 to 853 of the family's 1533-position model. The record is from RNAcentral. Lineage: Bacteria; Bacillati; Bacillota; Bacilli; Caryophanales; Bacillaceae.